UCUCCUUCAUUACAGGCGUUGGUUGCCAUUGCAUUUUUGUUUUGUGCUUGAUCCCUUUUCUCUGAUUCUGUGGCAUUUUGGUUUAUUGCCCCUCCUUCUGAUAGUCUCCUAGUUUGUGCCCAAAUGAGUUGCAUUCUUGACAGAAUGUUGGUUUCUAUUCAAAUUCCAUUGAUUGCAGCCAGCUUCUCCCAUCAGGUAUCUCAA
Molecule: long non-coding RNA, 204 nt
Filed under: Nicotiana benthamiana
Lineage: Eukaryota; Viridiplantae; Streptophyta; Magnoliopsida; Solanales; Solanaceae
Description: long non-coding RNA (NBEN_LNC029348)
Source: RNAcentral